GCCCUGGUGGUACAAUGGUUAAGCACUUGGCUGCUAUCCAAAAGGUUGGUGGUUCGAACCCAUCCGGUAGCU
This is a transfer RNA of Loxodonta africana (African savanna elephant), 72 nucleotides long. It matches the Rfam family "tRNA". From Rfam's summary of the family: Transfer RNA (tRNA) molecules are approximately 80 nucleotides in length. NCBI's taxonomy places the organism in Eukaryota, Metazoa, Chordata, Mammalia, Proboscidea, Elephantidae. The record is from Rfam.